Molecule: long non-coding RNA, 466 nt
Filed under: Homo sapiens (human)
Lineage: Eukaryota; Metazoa; Chordata; Mammalia; Primates; Hominidae
Description: LHRI_LNC382.1
Source: RNAcentral
ACUCCAGCACCUCAGAGGAGGCAAAAAGGUAAACACUGAAAAGAAAAUAUGCCGGGCACGGUGGCACAUGCCUGUAAUCCCAGCACUUUGGGAGACUGUGGCGGGCAGAUCUCUUGAGCCCAAGAGUUCGAGACCAACCUGCAAAAAAUUAGCCAGGUGUGGUGGUGUGCAUCUGUAUUCCCAGCUACUAGGGAGGCUGAAGCGGGAGGAUCGCUUGAGCUGGGAAGGUUGAGGCUGCAGUAAGCUAUGAUGGCACCUCUGUACUCCAGCCUGGGCAACAGAGUGAGACUCUGUCUCAAAAAAGAAAAAAGAGGGCGGGCGUAGUGGCUCACGCCUGUAAUCCCAGCACUUUGGGAGGCCGAGGCGGGCGGAUCACCUGAGGUCAAGAGUUUGAGACCAGCCUGGCCAACAGGGUGAAACCCCAUCUCUACUAAAAAUACAAAAAUUAGCUGGGCGUGGUGGUGUG